GCCUGAGUGGAGUAGUAGUUAACUCGUCGCCCUUCCAAAUCUGGAGCAAGGCGGAAACUCGGGUGCAAAUCCCGGCUCUGGCA
This is a transfer RNA of Podospora anserina, 83 nucleotides long. It matches the Rfam family "tRNA". From Rfam's summary of the family: Transfer RNA (tRNA) molecules are approximately 80 nucleotides in length. Their secondary structure includes four short double-helical elements and three loops (D, anti-codon, and T loops). Further hydrogen bonds mediate the characteristic L-shaped molecular structure. tRNAs have two regions of fundamental functional importance: the anti-codon, which is responsible for specific mRNA codon recognition, and the 3' end, to which the tRNAs corresponding amino acid is attached (by aminoacyl-tRNA synthetases). tRNAs cope with the degeneracy of the genetic code in two manners: having more than one tRNA (with a specific anti-codon) for a particular amino acid; and 'wobble' base-pairing, i.e. permitting non-standard base-pairing at the 3rd anti-codon position. NCBI's taxonomy places the organism in Eukaryota, Fungi, Ascomycota, Sordariomycetes, Sordariales, Podosporaceae. The record is from Rfam.